GACGAACGCUGGCGGCGUGCUUAACACAUGCAAGUCGAACGGUGAAGCGCCUUCGUUUUUGGGGGGUGUGGCGGGGUGGCGAAGGGGUGGGUAACAAGUGAGUAACCUGCCGCCUUCUUCUGGAUAACCGCAUGAAAGUGUGGCUUAUACCGGACAUUCUGAGGCUGUAGCAUGAUGGGUCUGGGGCAGCUAUUGUUUCGGUGGGGGAUGGGCUGGCGGCCUAUCAGGUUGGUGGGGGGGUGAUGGCCUACCAGGGCGGUGACGGGUAGCCGGGCUGAGAGGGUGGGCGGCCACACUGGGAAGGAGAGACGGAGCAGACUCCGAGGGGAGGCAGUAGGGGAGAAUAGUGCACGGUGGGCGGAAGGCUGAUGCAGCGACGCGGCGGUGAGGAUGGAGUCCGUCGGGUUGAGAACCUCUUUCGGGAGUGAAGCAGGCCUGGUUCGUUUGUGGGUGGGUUGACGGUACCUGGAGAAGAAGCGCCGGCUAACUACGUG
Molecule: ribosomal RNA, 494 nt
Filed under: uncultured bacterium
Lineage: Bacteria
Description: partial 16S ribosomal RNA
Rfam family: Bacterial small subunit ribosomal RNA
Source: RNAcentral